This 68-nucleotide transfer RNA is filed under the name Marmota monax (woodchuck). Its description in RNAcentral is "tRNA.Ala". The record is from RNAcentral. Lineage: Eukaryota; Metazoa; Chordata; Mammalia; Rodentia; Sciuridae.
GUGGUGGCUCAGUGGCAGAGUGCUUGCCUAGCAUGUGUGAGGCACUGGGUUUGAUCCUCAGCAUCACA